This 1270-nucleotide long non-coding RNA is filed under the name Eptatretus burgeri (inshore hagfish). RNAcentral describes it as "lncRNA (ENSEBUG00000017515.1)". The record is from RNAcentral. Lineage: Eukaryota; Metazoa; Chordata; Myxini; Myxiniformes; Myxinidae.
GUUAGUCCAUAGAGACUAAAAGUGCCAAUCAUUCCUCGGCCCUGUGAACGUCUCUUUUUGACUCCUCUCCAAGGCACAGGAUCUUUACCUUGGGAUUGCUCUGUAAGCUUGGAUUGCUUCUCCCAUCCCCAGGACCAGCUUCACCAGCGGAAAUGCAACAGAGGGGAUGCAGGUCCUGAGCACUGCCAAAAAGUGAACCUUCCUAUGCCUUUGGACCAAAUUGGACUACAACUAUAAUAUAUAUCUUGUGAAUGCCGACAUUACCUUGAUUUGAUAAGUUGGAUCUGCCGUUGACAUCGUAUCUGAAGCAACGAUGCAGUGACCCUGAGAUUAGGGGCAAGGGUGUAGAAUUGUGCUGAGGCACCAGCAUACAAUGGACUUUUCAAAAGACCCCCAGCAUUGCCAAUGGGGUGCGUAAGCAUACGGCCUUUUUGAUGGAGAACAACGUUCGAAGAGAGUCUUCUGAGAUUUGUGAUGAACGACCUGAUACUACUCAAAGAACUGGCAGCUCUCAGUGUUUGCUUUCAAGCUUCCCCCAGUUGACUGCGUGGGUCAAUGGAAUGCAGAAGUCGUCACAGUUACAGCCUGCAUCGUCAGAAAGUCAUCAUCAAGCCAAAGCCUGGACCACAGGACGAUGCUGGCCAACUUCAAAUCUUGUCGGUCCAUCCGGCUCGAAUCCUCGUGCAGACCACCUGUCACAGGCGCCAGGUCCCUCCACCAAAGGAUACCUUUCCAACGAACAUCAUACCUUAUUUUCAGGCUCACAGCCUUCACAACCUCUGCCUGGGCCUCCUUCCUCCGGCUUAGGAAUAUCAAAAGAGCUUUCCUUGUCUGCCGUCUCUGGGCGGAGAUCCUGGCAGCACGACAGGCCAUUGCCUUCACCCACAGUCCAGCACGUUCUUCCAGCAGACAAUUGCUUACCAACAAAAUGCAAAGCUGAUGAUAUCUCCACAUGCUCCCAAUUCCAAGUUUUUCCAGGGGCUGCAGUUCACCGGCAAAAGCCAUCGGUCGACGAUAAUACGCAGCUUCCAUCUUCUCGUCUUGGAAAGCCCCAGCCGACACAACUAUUCUCACCGGCAAGUGACUCUGAUCCAAGAGUCGGUUCUCACACUGUUCCCCCUGUACACCGCAUUGUGCUCUCACCACAAAUGGACAAACAAACCACAGAAUCCUCACAACUCAGGAAUCUGUUAGCAGAACGCUGGCAGGCUGCCCUGCAGGCCAAACAUCCUGCGCGAUCAUCUGGGCACCCACCUACGUCAAAGCCUCC